RNAcentral lists this small RNA (26 nucleotides) under Arabidopsis thaliana (thale cress). RNAcentral describes it as "ATSL230190". Lineage: Eukaryota; Viridiplantae; Streptophyta; Magnoliopsida; Brassicales; Brassicaceae. The record is from RNAcentral.
UAUCUUCAUCUUCUUCUUCUUCAUCA